AAGUCGAACGGUAACAGGUCUUCGGAUGCUGACGAGUGGCGCACGGGUGAGUAACGCGUACAAAAUCUACCGUUUUAACUCGGGGGAAAGUCGGCUCGGAAACGGCGAAUAAUCCCGCAUAAGACCCCGAUGUCGCAUGGCAUUUGGUGGUAAAAGGCUUCGGCUGGUAAAAGAUGAUUGUGCGUUCCAUUAGCUAGAUGGUGAGGUAACGGCUCACCAUGGCGACGAUGGUUAGGGGGCGUGAGAGCGUGAUCCCCCACACGGGUACUGAGACACGGACCCGACUCC
Molecule: ribosomal RNA, 288 nt
Filed under: uncultured bacterium
Lineage: Bacteria
Description: partial 16S ribosomal RNA
Rfam family: Bacterial small subunit ribosomal RNA
Source: RNAcentral